GACGAACGCUGGCGGCGUGCUUAACACAUGCAAGUCGAACGGAAAGGCCCUGCUUUUGUGGGGCGCUCGAGUGGCGAACGGGUGAGUAACACGUGAGUAACCUGCCCUUGACUUUGGGAUAACUUCAGGAAACUGGGGCCAAUACCGGAUAGGAGCUCUUGCUGCAUGGAGGGGGAUGGAAAGUUUCGGCGGUUGGGGAUGGACUCGCGGCUUAUCAGCUUGUUGGUGGGGUAGUGGAUUACCAAGGCUUUGACGGGUAGCCGGCCUGGGCGGGUGACCGGCCACAUUGGGACUGAGAUACGGACCAGACUCCUACGGGAGGCAGCAGAGGGGAAUAUUGCACAAUGGGCGGAAGCCUGAUGCAGCGACGCCGCGUGCGGGAUGACGGCAUUCGGGUUGUAACCCACUUUCGCCUGAGACGAAGCGUGAGUGACGGUAAUGGGUAAAGAAGCACCGGCUAACUACGUG
This 468-nucleotide ribosomal RNA is filed under the name uncultured bacterium. Its description in RNAcentral is "partial 16S ribosomal RNA". It matches the Rfam family "Bacterial small subunit ribosomal RNA", at positions 28 to 507 of the family's 1533-position model. The record is from RNAcentral.